This 2446-nucleotide long non-coding RNA is filed under the name Schizosaccharomyces pombe (fission yeast). The record is from RNAcentral. Lineage: Eukaryota; Fungi; Ascomycota; Schizosaccharomycetes; Schizosaccharomycetales; Schizosaccharomycetaceae.
UGAUACGAAUCUGCUAGGAAAUUUCAAACUGAAAAGGAUUAACAAGUCGACGGUCUACGGAUAGGGGAAAGACUGAAGGGGGAAGAAAGAAACUAACUCAACCGAAUAUUUGGGUUGAGAUGUCAGCCAGUAUCAGGGUAGAGAGUAAUGUGAGAGAACGCGGUUAUUGUAUAAGCGUGGGUAAUCUUAAAGAUGAAAAAAUUUUAUCAGAUUAGAUUUUUCCACAUUGACCUUUGACAAAUGAAAACUCCUAGAUGCACAAUCGACCAAUCGGGGUAAAAAUCAGAUAGCGAUCAGAUAACUGAUUGGAUGAGAAAAUAGUUACACUUUAAAGCUGAAAAGGCGAAGAUAUUGGCCAAUAUGCAGCAGAAGUGAGCCUAAAUGCCUCGAAUCGCUUAAACGAGGUACCGUGCAAUAAGUGAGCACAAGAUGUAGGUACGAUAGCGAAUCGAACGGCACUUGGCGUAUUCAGUUCCGAAUGUGCAAAUAACAGUGUAUAAUUAAAGCACAUUAAUCUCAGUUAACGAAAUCGGUCGACAAAGUAGACCAAUGGGAAGGGUUCAAGCGAGCCCUUGGAUUAAAUUAAUGGAAGGUUGUGAAGGGCACGUAUUUACUAGAUGAAGAGAGCGCGCUUUUCAGUAUGGGUUAAUAAAAUGAAAACUUGUGCUACUAGUUUAAGCAUAAUAAAUGGAAAAAGCUUCCCCCAUUUGCUAUUGCUAUAGUGUGAAUACACAAUUGAGAAACUUUUAAAAAUGCAAGUUUUAGAGAGGAUGGAUGGGAUGGAUACGCGUUUGAAAAUGCCUUUUUUCUACUUCAUUAGUUACGCCUUGUGAAAUGGAAAAAAAUCUUGAAGCCAAGUCUUCCUACCCAGAUGGGAAAUUCAAGACAAAUGCUAGGAAUGUGCAACAGAUCAUGUUUGCUAAAAGAUAUUGCAAGUGUGUGUCGUUUGACUUAUUGACUGGACUAGUCGACGCGUUCAUCCCAUGAAUAGGGGAUUUCGCAAACAUUUCUUAUUGCUUUUAAAAAUGGAAGUGCAGUUUUGUUAUUACUUUUAAAGUAAAAAAGAUGUUGCUGUUAUUUCUUUAAUGUAAAUUAAUUAUAUUUUACUAUUUGCAUUAACGAAAAACGAUGCAAUAUCUAAAUUACUUUUAGGGCACCCCUUAUCCUUGCUAUGUUAAAUCUGUCAUGGAUGUAAUGCUAUUGCUAUUGCUAUUGCUAUUGCCAGUGUAAUAAUAAACCGCGGAGCUGAGUCAGCACUAAUAGCGUCAUACCCUUAUCUCUGCACUUAUCGUAUCGCUCGCCAUCUUUUUUAUAAUUUUACGAGCGGAGAAAUUUUUUGAUGCAAAAGAUAUUUAACGAAUCAAUACAUUGUCUUCUAAUCCAAUAACUACGUAUUCUAAGGAUGAAUACUUUAUAAUGGGAUUCUAUGAGAAUAUUUAUUUCGUUUAUAUAAUCUUAUGAAGCAUUUCAAAUAAGCAUAACAUGUAUCUAUUCUCUUGUUCGAAAACCGAGCCAAGGGAUCAGGGGUCAUUUCUAAUGAAUCAGGGGACUUCUUUUUCUUUCUCAAUUCUUAUUUUGUUUCCCUUUGUUGAUAAUGUAAAAGCCUCGUUUAAUUGAGUACAAUCAGCAAGUGAGGAAUCGGUUUAUUUCGCUUUCCUUUUCAUAGAAAAAGGGACUCGUCCAUCAAUGUCCUGGCGUCGUUUAUUCAAACUUUGUCAUUCGGUGCUUUUUAACAGGCAAUUUCCGCUUUUGCUGGUCGAUCUGUAUGCGUCAAAAGUUUUGUCUGGUCCGGCAUCACACGAUGUUGACAAAAAAAUCAUCAUCCACUGCAAGGUGUAGUGGGUACACAAAGUUGGGUGUGUAUUCCCAAAUUCCAAUGCAUUUUUAUAAUAUGCGAUAAGCUCCCAUAGCUAAUCACUUGUCCUUUAACGUUGAAACUACUGUACACAAAGGUAGACCGCAGCACACACACUUGAGCAUUCAAAGUAAGAGCGUCUGCUGGAUAUUCUUAUAGCAAGGUCAAUUGUGUUGAAUGCAUAAAGAGCAUCUCUUUUCUGAAUGGUUCAACGAGCAUAUUGCACAGUGGAUUCCAAUAAAAAAAAUAAAGGAAACGUAAACGAUCGAAAAAAAAAUGCUUUUUAAAAAAUCCCGUGUCAGCGUUUAUACCAAGGAAAUAUCGCAUAGUGAUCCUUUUGCUCUACAUACUCCACGCAUGCACCAUCGAUACACUACCAAGAACCGCAGCAACUCAGCCUUAUUACUGUGUCAUCCAUCCCAUGUGUUUAUUCUUGCUGUGCCCACAGCACGCUUGCACAAACGUAUGUGGGACGGUCGUUACGUCUGCGAUGAUGACUGCCUAGGGAGCCCCGCGCGCUUUAGCCGGUUCAGGAAGAGUUUGGGAUAAUGCAGUACGAUGGUAUGCACUAUACUAGAUUUAACUUUGCAA